AGGAUGAACGCUGGCGGCAUGCCUAACACAUGCAAGUCGAACGAGACCUUCGGGUCUAGUGGCGCACGGGUGCGUAACGCGUGGGAAUCUGCCCUUAGGUACGGAAUAACAGUGAGAAAUUACUGCUAAUACCGUAUGAUGUCUUCGGACCAAAGAUUUAUCGCCUAGGGAUGAGCCCGCGUUGGAUUAGCUAGUUGGUGGGGUAAAGGCCUACCAAGGCGACGAUCCAUAGCUGGUCUGAGAGGAUGAUCAGCCACACUGGGACUGAGACACGGCCCAGACUCCUACGGGAGGCAGCAGUGGGGAAUAUUGGACAAUGGGCGAAAGCCUGAUCCAGCAAUGCCGCGUGAGUGAAGAAGGCCUUAGGUUGUAAAGCUCUUUUACCCGGGAAGAUAAUGACUGUACCGGGAGAAUAAGCCCCGGCUAACUCCGCGCCAGCAGCCGC
This 445-nucleotide ribosomal RNA is filed under the name uncultured bacterium. RNAcentral describes it as "SSU rRNA". It matches the Rfam family "Bacterial small subunit ribosomal RNA", at positions 26 to 518 of the family's 1533-position model. The record is from RNAcentral.